CGGGAUAGCCCAGCUUGAAGAGCAGAGGACUGAA
This 34-nucleotide transfer RNA is filed under the name Artocarpus heterophyllus (jackfruit). RNAcentral's name for it is "partial transfer RNA-Phe". The record is from RNAcentral. Lineage: Eukaryota; Viridiplantae; Streptophyta; Magnoliopsida; Rosales; Moraceae.